This 468-nucleotide ribosomal RNA is filed under the name uncultured bacterium. Its description in RNAcentral is "partial 16S ribosomal RNA". It matches the Rfam family "Bacterial small subunit ribosomal RNA", at positions 28 to 507 of the family's 1533-position model. The record is from RNAcentral.
GACGAACGCUGGCGGCGUGCCUAACACAUGCAAGUCGAACGGAAAGGCCCUGCUUUUGUGGGGUGCUCGAGUGGCGAACGGGUGAGUAACACACGAGUAACCUGCCCUUGACUUUGGGAUAACUUCAGGAAGCUGGGGCUAAUACCGGAUAGGAGCUCCUGCUGCAUGGGGGGGGUUGGAAAGAUCCGGCGGUGGGGGCUGGACUCGCGGCUUAUCAGCUUGUUGGUGGGGUAGUGGCUUACCAAGGCUUUGACGGGUAGCCGGCCUGGGAGGGUGGCCGGCCACCUUGGGACUGAGAUACGGCCCAGACUCCUACGGGCGGCAGCAGUGGGGAAUAUUGCAGAAUGGGCCGAAGCCUGAUGCAGCAACGCCGCGUGCGGGAUGACGGCCUUCGGGUUGUAAACCGCUUUCGACUGUGACGAGGCGUGAGUGACGGUACUGGGUAAGGAAGCACCGGCUAACUACGUG